This 465-nucleotide ribosomal RNA is filed under the name uncultured bacterium. RNAcentral's name for it is "partial 16S ribosomal RNA". It matches the Rfam family "Bacterial small subunit ribosomal RNA", at positions 338 to 795 of the family's 1533-position model. The record is from RNAcentral.
CCUACGGGUGGCAGCAGUAGGGAAUCUUCCACAAUGGGCGAAAGCCUGAUGGAGCAACGCAGCGUGGGUGAAGAAGGUCUUCGGAUCGUAAAACCCUGUUGUUAGAGAAGAAAGUGCGUGAGAGUAACUGUUCACGUUUCGACGGUAUCUAACAAGAAAGCCACGGCUAACUACGUGCCAGCAGCCGCGGUAAUACGUAGGUGGCAAGCGUUAUCCGGAUUGAUUGGGCGUAAAGGGAACGCAGGCGGUCUUUUAAGUCUGAUGUGAAAGCCUUCGGCUUAACCGGAGUAGUGCAUUGGAAACUGGGAGACUUGAGUGCAGAAGAGGAGAGUGGAACUCCAUGUGUAGCGGUGAAAUGCGUAGAUAUAUGGAAGAACACCAGUGGCGAAAGCGGCUCUCUGGUCUGUAACUGACGCUGAGGUUCGAAAGCGUGGGUAGCAAACAGGAUUAGAUACCCCAGUAGUC